GUUUCUAUAGUUUAAAGAAAAUAUAAUAUUGAAAAUAUUAAGAUAUAAUUUUAGAAAUA
RNAcentral lists this transfer RNA (59 nucleotides) under Alectorobius capensis. RNAcentral's name for it is "Ornithodoros capensis tRNA-Phe". Lineage: Eukaryota; Metazoa; Arthropoda; Arachnida; Ixodida; Argasidae. The record is from RNAcentral.